UUGAAAACCUUUUGACAGAUGAAGCUUUGAAAUUUCAGUUCAAUAUCAAAAUUAUGAUAGCAGUUUUUUUCGAAUUAUUACUGGCAUUAUUCGCAUAUUAUUCUUUUAAGGUUUUGCCGCCAAUAUCAGCUGUCGAUUAUAUACCACGUAUUUGUUGUUUUGGACGACAAAGGGGCUUAACAUCUCCAUUUUUUAAUGAAGUGAACACUGUUACACCUUCUGGUUGUAAUCAGGACGAUUCUUCCACUAUAACUAACCCAAAAAACUCGGAAACAAAUAUUUUUGCUAACAACGACAAACAACAGUAAAUUUUCCCGGUAAUUUCAACGUCGUUACCUUGUAUGUAUUCGUAGAAUGUAAAGGAGAAAGAUGUAUUCAAGAUUGUUGCAUGAAAUUUACCAGACGUAAAUGCCAACAGAAAUGCGUGUUGAAGAAUUGCAAGCAAUUUUUAAAGUCGUGCAAGGCAAUAAAGGAAUUUGAAAAAAGGAAUCCCUUUGCGCAAAAAUUAAAAAAGCAAAUGGACGUUGAAUGUAACAAUGAAAAAGGAGAAAAAGGUAGAGCGAGAGACCUGGAGUGUUAUUACAAGACACUCUUUGGUGAUGGAAACUGUGGGUUUUGUAAAAAAUUAAAAAGAGCCCUGUGCCAAUAUUACAGACCGGUAGACGUGGUUUAUGAAGAAUAGAAACUAAAGUUUUACCAGAGAAC
Long non-coding RNA from Agrilus planipennis (emerald ash borer), 705 nucleotides. RefSeq lists it as uncharacterized. The record is from RefSeq and is a predicted model, not a curated record. Lineage: Eukaryota; Metazoa; Arthropoda; Insecta; Coleoptera; Buprestidae. The transcript has 3 exons.